RNAcentral lists this ribosomal RNA (658 nucleotides) under uncultured earthworm cast bacterium. RNAcentral's name for it is "bacterial SSU rRNA". It matches the Rfam family "Bacterial small subunit ribosomal RNA", at positions 56 to 758 of the family's 1533-position model. The record is from RNAcentral.
UGCAAGUCGAGCGGGCGUAGCAAUACGUCAGCGGCAGACGGGUGAGUAACGCGUGGGAACGUACCUUUUGGUUCGGAACAACACAGGGAAACUUGUGCUAAUACCGGAUAAGCCCUUACGGGGAAAGAUUUAUCGCCGAAAGAUCGGCCCGCGUCUGAUUAGCUAGUUGGUGAGGUAACGGCUCACCAAGGCGACGAUCAGUAGCUGGUCUGAGAGGAUGAUCAGCCACAUUGGGACUGAGACACGGCCCAAACUCCUACGGGAGGCAGCAGUGGGGAAUAUUGGACAAUGGGCGCAAGCCUGAUCCAGCCAUGCCGCGUGAGUGAUGAAGGCCCUAGGGUUGUAAAGCUCUUUUGUGCGGGAAGAUAAUGACGGUACCGCAAGAAUAAGCCCCGGCUAACUUCGUGCCAGCAGCCGCGGUAAUACGAAGGGGGCUAGCGUUGCUCGGAAUCACUGGGCGUAAAGGGUGCGUAGGCGGGUCUUUAAGUCAGGGGUGAAAUCCUGGAGCUCAACUCCAGAACUGCCUUUGAUACUGAGGAUCUUGAGUUCGGGAGAGGUGAGUGGAACUGCGAGUGUAGAGGUGAAAUUCGUAGAUAUUCGCAAGAACACCAGUGGCGAAGGCGGCUCACUGGCCCGAUACUGACGCUGAGGCACGAAA